GCCCGUCUAGCUCAAUCGGAUAGAGCGUCAGACUCUUAAGGCAGGUUCUUCGGGUGUUCCCGGGUUGUAGACAUGGUCGUGUGAUCUGAAGGCUGCGGGUUCGACCCCCGCGGUGGGCU
Molecule: transfer RNA, 119 nt
Filed under: Fibroporia radiculosa
Lineage: Eukaryota; Fungi; Basidiomycota; Agaricomycetes; Polyporales; Fibroporiaceae
Rfam family: tRNA
About the family: Transfer RNA (tRNA) molecules are approximately 80 nucleotides in length. Their secondary structure includes four short double-helical elements and three loops (D, anti-codon, and T loops). Further hydrogen bonds mediate the characteristic L-shaped molecular structure. tRNAs have two regions of fundamental functional importance: the anti-codon, which is responsible for specific mRNA codon recognition, and the 3' end, to which the tRNAs corresponding amino acid is attached (by aminoacyl-tRNA synthetases). tRNAs cope with the degeneracy of the genetic code in two manners: having more than one tRNA (with a specific anti-codon) for a particular amino acid; and 'wobble' base-pairing, i.e. permitting non-standard base-pairing at the 3rd anti-codon position.
Source: Rfam by way of RNAcentral